Lutra lutra (Eurasian river otter) is the source of this 489-nucleotide long non-coding RNA. RefSeq lists it as uncharacterized. The record is from RefSeq and is a predicted model, not a curated record. Lineage: Eukaryota; Metazoa; Chordata; Mammalia; Carnivora; Mustelidae. The transcript is spliced from 3 exons.
GUUAGCUCUGGGGAGGUGUGCUGACACAGUGACUAGUGAGGCCCAGGCAAGGCCGACCCACCUUGGCGCCGAUGUCGCGGCUCUUGGCCCGCAGCUUGUUGACCUGGGACUCGGCGAUGUCUGCCCGCUCCUCGGCCUCAUCCAGCUCGUGCUGCACCUUGCGGAACUUGGACAGGUUGGUGUUGGCCUGCUCCUCCUGCGGGGGUCGGGAUGGGGAGGAGGAGGAAAGAGUCUGGGGAGCUCAUGGAAUCCUGAAAUCCUGCACAAAAACCAUGCAUGUUCGCUGUUCCAGGGAGCAGGCCCUUAGGGGUCCUGUGGAGGAUAAACUCUCCUGUUCUAAAAGCCAGCGCGUGAUGGUAGUAACGUUGGGAUUGCAUGCUGAGAUUUCCCGGGCUGCAGGGAAGGGACUCGAUCUAAGGACAUGUGUGUCCUUUCUGGACUUUCUGGGUUGGAACAGGAGUAAAAUCUAAUUAGGAGUCUGAUUGUAGA